AACGUAGGACGCAAGCGUUAUCCGGAGUUACUGGGCGUAAAGCGCGGGCAGGCGGUCUGAUGCGUCUGAUGUGAAAGCGCCCCGCUAAACGGGGCGAGGCCAUUGGAAACGGUCGGACUGGAGGGCAGUAGAGGUAGGCGGAAUUCCGGGUGGAGUGGUGAAAUGCGUAGAGAUCCGGAGGAACACCAGAGGCGAAGGCGGCCUACUGGGCUGCACCUGACGCUGAGCCGCGAAAGCCAGGGGAGCGAACGGG
Molecule: ribosomal RNA, 253 nt
Filed under: uncultured bacterium
Lineage: Bacteria
Description: partial 16S ribosomal RNA
Rfam family: Bacterial small subunit ribosomal RNA
Source: RNAcentral